UAAGGAAUAUUGCUCAAUGGGAGAAAUCCUGAAGCAGCAACGCCGCGUGGAGGAUGAAGGGUCUAUGACUUGUAAACUCCUGUAAAGAAGGAAAAAAUUCCCAUUUGAUGGGAGAUGAUGGUACUUCUGGAGUAAGCUCCGGCUAACUACGUGCCAGCAGCCGCGGUAAUACGUAGGGGGCAAGCGUUGUCCGGAUUUACUGGGUGUAAAGGGUGCUCAGGCGGAUUUGUAAGUCAGAGGUGAAAUCUUACAGCUUAACUGUGAAACUGCCUUUGAUACUGCAAGCCUAGAGUAUGGAAGAGAGUGAUGGAAUAUCUGGUGUAGCAGUGAAAUGCGUAGAUAUCAGAUAGAACACCAAUGGCGAAGGCAGUCACUUGGUCCAUUACUGACGCUAAAGCACGAAAGCGUGGGUAGCAAACA
Molecule: ribosomal RNA, 420 nt
Filed under: uncultured bacterium
Lineage: Bacteria
Description: bacterial SSU rRNA
Rfam family: Bacterial small subunit ribosomal RNA
Source: RNAcentral